This 990-nucleotide ribosomal RNA is filed under the name Azorhizophilus sp. SYC37. RNAcentral describes it as "bacterial SSU rRNA". It matches the Rfam family "Bacterial small subunit ribosomal RNA", at positions 33 to 1022 of the family's 1533-position model. The record is from RNAcentral. Lineage: Bacteria; Pseudomonadati; Pseudomonadota; Gammaproteobacteria; Pseudomonadales; Pseudomonadaceae.
ACGGGCGCCUGGCCUCACCAUGGCGCUUCGAGCGGCUGCCGGGAGGUAGCUUGUUGACUCAGCGGGGGAGGGGUGAGAGAUAAAAUCGAGUCUGGCAGAUAGCGGGGGAAACGGUUCUAAAGGAACGCUCGUAUGGUAUAAGUCCUACGGGAUAAAGCAGGGAACCUUCGGGCCUUGCGCUAUCGCAUGAGCCUAUGUCGGAUUAUGUAGUUGGUGAGGUAAUGGGUCACCGGGGCGACGAGCCGAAACUGGUCUGAUAGGAUGAUCAGACGCACUGGAACUGAGACACGGACCCAACUCCUACAGUAAGCAGCAGUGGGGAAUAUUGGACAAUGGGCGAAAGCCUGAUCCAGCCAUGCCGCGUGUGUGAAGAAGGUCUUCGGAUUGUAAAGCACUUUAAGUUGGGAGGAAGGGCAGUAAGCUAAUACCUUGCUGUUUUGAUUUUUCCUACAGAAUAAGCACCGGCUAACUCUGUGCCAGCAGCCGCGGUAAUACAGAGGGUGCAAGCGUUAAUCGGAAUUACUGGGCGUAAAGCGCGCGUAGGUGGUUCGGUUAAGUUGGAUGUGAAAUCCCCGGGCUCAACCUGGGAACUGCAUCCAAAACUGGCGAGCUACAGUAUGGAAGAGGGUGGAGGAAUUUCCUGUGUAGCGGGUGAAAUGCGUAGAUAUAGGAAGGAACACCAGUGGCGAAUGCGACCACCUGGGCUCAUACUGACACUGAGUGCGAAAGCGUGGGGGAGCAAACAGGAUUAGAUACCCUGUUAGUCCACGCCGUAAAACGAUGUCCACUAGCCGUUGGAAUCCUUGAUAUUUUAGUGGCGCAGCUAACGCAUUAAGGUUGACGGCUGGGGAGUACGGCCGCAGGUAAACUCAAAUGAUUUGACGGGUGCCCGCACAACCGUGGAACAUGUGGUUUAAUUUCGUAAACACGCGAAAACCUUAACACGUCCUUGGCAUCAAGAACUUUGCAAAAAAUGGAUUGAUGCCUUUC